RNAcentral lists this ribosomal RNA (659 nucleotides) under uncultured archaeon. RNAcentral's name for it is "bacterial SSU rRNA". It matches the Rfam family "Archaeal small subunit ribosomal RNA", at positions 1 to 666 of the family's 1478-position model. The record is from RNAcentral.
CCCUUGGUUGAUCCCGCCGGACCUGACUGCUAUCGGAUUGAUACUAAGCCAUGCGAGUCUUUGUAGUAAUACAAGGCAGACGGCUCAGUAACACGUAGUCAACCUACCCUAUGGACGAGAAUAAUCUCGGGAAACUGAGCAUAAUUCUUGAUAGAUCAUAAUGCCUGGAAUGGUUUAUGGUUAAAAUGAUUCGUCGCCAUAGGAUUGAACUGCGGCCUAUCAGCUUGUUGGUGAGGUAACGGCCCACCAAGGCGAUUACAGGUACGGGCUCUGAGAGGAGAAGCCCGGAGAUGGGUACUGAGACACGGACCCAGGCCCUAUGGGGCGCAGCAGGCGAGAAAACUUUGCAAUGUGCGAAAGCACGACAAGGUUAAUCCGAGUGAUUUCUGCUAAAGAAAUCUUUUGCCAGUCGUAAAACCGCUGGUGAAUAUGGGGUGGGCAAGUUCUGGUGUCAGCCGCCGCGGUAAAACCAGCACCUCAAGUGGUCAGGAUGAUUAUUGGGCCUAGAGCAUCCGUAGCCGGCUUUGUAAGUUUUCGGUUAAAUCCAUGUGCUCAACGCAUGGGCUGCCGAAAAUACUGCAUAGCUAGGGAGUGGGAGAGGUAGACGGUACUCAGUAGGUAGGGGUAAAAUCCUUUGAUCUAUUGAUGACCACCUGUGG